CCUACGGGGGGCAGCAAUUAGGAAUCUUGCGCAAUGGGGGCAACCCUGACGCAGCGACGCCGCGUGCGGGAUGAAGGCAUUCGUGUCGUAAACCGCUUUUGAGGGGGAAGAAUACUGACGGUACCCCUCGAAUAAGCCCCGGCUAACUACGUGCCAGCAGCCGCGGUAAUACGUAGGGGGCGAGCGUUGUCCGAAGUUACUGGGCGUAAAGCGCGCGUAGGCGGCCUCUUAAGUCUGGUGUGAAAGGUUCAGGGCUCAACCCGAACAGUGCACUGGAUACUGGCAGGCUUGAGAUCGGGAGAGGAGGGUGGAAUUCCUGGUGUAGCGGUGAAAUGCGUAGAUAUCAGGAGGAACACCGAUGGCGAAGGCAGCCCUCUGGCCCGAUACUGACGCUGAGGUGCGAAAGCGUGGGGAGCGAACGGGAUUAGAUACCCCUGUAG
RNAcentral lists this ribosomal RNA (440 nucleotides) under uncultured bacterium. RNAcentral describes it as "bacterial SSU rRNA". It matches the Rfam family "Bacterial small subunit ribosomal RNA", at positions 338 to 793 of the family's 1533-position model. The record is from RNAcentral.